UAAUCCCAGCAGUCCAAGUUGUGGCCGUAUUUAUUAGGUCUAAAAUAUUCGUAGCUUGCUUUGUAAGUUCCUUGUGAAAUGUUAUUGCUUAACUUUAACGCGUGCUAGGAAUACUGCAUUGCUAGAGACCGGGAGACGUAACGAGUACGAUUAGGGUAACGGUAAAAUGUGUUAAUCCUAAUUGGACUAACAAUGGCGAAGGCACGUUACGAGAACGGAUCUGACGGUGAGGAAUGAAGGCCAGGGGCGCGAAAUGGAUUAGAUACCCAUGUAGUCCUGGCAGUAAACGCUGCUUACUAAACAUUGGGUUCUCUUAGAGAGAAUUCAGUGCUGAAGCGAAGGCGGAAGUAAGCUACCUGGGGAGUAUAGCCGCAAGGCCG
This 380-nucleotide ribosomal RNA is filed under the name uncultured archaeon. RNAcentral's name for it is "bacterial SSU rRNA". It matches the Rfam family "Archaeal small subunit ribosomal RNA", at positions 471 to 851 of the family's 1478-position model. The record is from RNAcentral.